AAAGAAGAAGAGAAAGAAAAGAGAAAGUGCAGUCUGGGUUCCAACUCGAGGGAAAUCCUGCAUAUGUUCCCUUCCCUCUCCUCCCCCUAGACUGGGAAGUGGGGGCCAGCCCAGCUGCCCGCUCCCCUCAAUAUACCAGGUGCCAGAACACAGCUGUUUCUUCAUUGUUCCCCAACCCAGGCGGACUGUAAUUGGUGGGGCAGAGCAGGGCGGGGCUACCCCUGUGCUGAAUCCAGUGGGGCUAUCUCCACUCCAGGCAAAUCCAGCCAGAGACUGAUUCUGAGCAGCAGUUCUGCCCGGUGAGAGCUGCC
This 311-nucleotide long non-coding RNA is filed under the name Homo sapiens (human). RNAcentral describes it as "non-protein coding lnc-MYMX-1:1". The record is from RNAcentral. Lineage: Eukaryota; Metazoa; Chordata; Mammalia; Primates; Hominidae.